Molecule: ribosomal RNA, 1842 nt
Filed under: Triticum aestivum (bread wheat)
Lineage: Eukaryota; Viridiplantae; Streptophyta; Magnoliopsida; Poales; Poaceae
Description: partial small subunit ribosomal RNA
Source: RNAcentral
AUGGAUCUCCGCCGCCCGCCGCGCUCGACGUCUGGCGGCGUCGAGCCCAAGAUCCGCCAGGUCGGCUUCGUCACCCCUGGCGUUUCGGCCCCGUCCGAGCCGCCCGCCGUCGCCGCCGCGGCGGUAUCGCUGCCUGGCGCGGCUGCCGGGUCGCCUCCGGCGUCGGACCUCUCCCCGGGCUCGCUCUCCCCCGUCAUGAUCCCUCCUCCGCGGCACGUGGACCACCUCUCCCCCGACUCCCCCUCCCCCCCGGCGUCCGACGUCCUCCUCCUCGCGUCCUCGGCGCCUCAGCCUUCCUCCAUCCGCUUCGCCGCUGCAUCCGAGUUCGGAGAGGAGGAUUCGAGGUCCCUGGCCCCUUCCGCGGGGGAGCUAGAAACAAACAAGGGAGAUUUGGCUGAAAUAAGGAAUGAAGAUGCUCCAGUGUCCAUUCCGCAAAAGCAGAAACCUUCUAAAGCAGAGAGGCGUGCUAUUCAGGAGGCUCAGCGUGCUGCGAAAGCUGCUGCGAAGGAGGCAGGUUUAUCAGGAAAGUCUACAGGCGCUGCUUCUGGGGCUAAUCCUGCAACAUCCAAGCAAGCUAAGCCAGCUAAAAUUUCUCAGAAGAAAGAUGUGCCCCAUGCUCCAAGUACAGUCGCUUCUGAGAAGAAGGUUACUGAACGCCAACCAGAGAGAGAUAGAAAAAAAGAUGUUCCUCAUCCGAGAAUGCAGUUUGAUGACGUGCAUCGGGUGGAGAAAGCAAAGAAACGUGCAAUUGUCAACCAAUCAGAGGCUCGAAACAGAGUUGAAUUGUUUAGGCAUCUGCCACAGUACGUCCAUGGCACUCAACUUCCUGACCUCGAGUCAAAAUUCUUUCAACUGGAACCAAUUCAUCCUUCUGUAUACAAGGUCGGGCUCCAAUAUUUGUCUGGUGAGGUAUCUGGUGGCAAUGGUCGUUGCAUAGCAAUGCUUCUUGCGUUCAGGGAGGCAAUAAAAGAUUACUCCACACCGCCAAAUAAAACUCUCAGCAGAGACCUUACUGCAAAAGUUGGUAGCUAUGUGUCAUUUUUUAUCGAGUGCCGUCCACUCUCAAUUAGCAUGGGCAAUGCUAUCAGGUUCCUGAAAAACAGGAUUGCCAAGCUACCAAUUACAUUGUCAGAGUCAGAAGCCAAGGCCAGUCUUCAGUCUGAUAUUGAUCGUUUUAUUAAUGAGAAGAUAGUUGUUGCAGAUCAGGUUAUUGUCAGUCAUGCUAUCACAAAAGUCAGAGACGAUGAUGUCUUGCUAACAUAUGGGUCAUCAUCAGUUGUUGAAAUGUUUUUGGAGCAUGCUCAUGAACUUGGUAGGAAGUUCCGUGUUAUAGUGGUGGAUUCUCGUCCCAAGCUCGAGGGGCAAGGAUUACUGCGUAGAUUAGUGGCGAAGGGCAUUAACUGCACAUAUACUCAUAUAAAUGCAGUUUCAUACAUCAUGCAUGAAGUUACAAGAGUCUUCUUGGGUGCAUCCUCAAUAUUAUCAAAUGGAACAGUUUAUUCCCGAGUUGGCACAGCAUCCGUGGCUAUGGUGGCACAUGCAUUUGGAAUUCCUGUUUUGGUUUGCUGCGAGGCAUACAAAUUUGAUGAGAGGGUGCAAAUUGAUUCUAUAUGCGCUAAUGAGCUUGGUGAUCCAGAUGUGAUUUCGAAAAUUCCUGGGAGGGCAGAUUUGGGCGAUCUUAAGAACUGGGCUGACAACGAGAAUCUCCAACUGUUAAAUCUCACGUAUGAUGCAACCCCUUCUGAUUAUGUGUCGAUGAUCAUAACGGAUUAUGGAAUGCUUCCACCUACAAGUGUGCCGGUCAUCGUGAGAGAGUACCGCAAGGAGCAGCUGUGGGUAUAG